RNAcentral lists this ribosomal RNA (99 nucleotides) under Anoxybacteroides voinovskiense. Its description in RNAcentral is "partial 16S ribosomal RNA". It matches the Rfam family "Bacterial small subunit ribosomal RNA", at positions 1 to 93 of the family's 1533-position model. The record is from RNAcentral. Lineage: Bacteria; Bacillati; Bacillota; Bacilli; Caryophanales; Anoxybacillaceae.
UUUUUGGAGAGUUUGAUCCUGGCUCAGGACGAACGCUGGCGGCGUGCCUAAUACAUGCAAGUCGAGCGGAUCGAAUAGGAGCUUGCUUCUAUUCGGUUA